RNA transcript from Physcomitrium patens, 3259 nucleotides. It is a transcript of the gene named chromo domain-containing protein LHP1, with no coding region annotated. NCBI's taxonomy places the organism in Eukaryota, Viridiplantae, Streptophyta, Bryopsida, Funariales, Funariaceae. The record is from RefSeq and is a predicted model, not a curated record.
UCGCCUCUCUUCUUCCUCUUCUUCUCACUAAGAGUUUGCUCCCUUCCUUAGAGUCUGUUAUAGCACUAUUGCUCUGUCCGUGACUCCCUCCCUCCUUUGGUCUUAUUUUUCAUCUUCGCUACCUUCUAGGUCUUCUUAGUUCUGUCUGUCUGUCUGUGACCGUGUCCGUCUCGCUCUCGCACCCUUAACUUAUUGUUCUUCCCCUUGGCCCGUUGGUUGUUUUCCUCUCCGUUCCCCUCCCCUUCUCCUUUUGUAUCCCUCUCAUUGCUGUCAAUCCACCAAUUCUGCUAUUCAUGGUGGGUCUGUGGUUGGAAUUUAUUGGCUUAGGUUAUAGGACUUCAUGUGCGCCGUCUGGCAGUAUAUGGAGCAUAAGUUGUCGUUGGCGAGAGGAGCAUCAGGUCCUCGUGGAUUGCAUUUGGUGAAAUUUGAGGGAUGUCGAGGGAUGUUGAAUGAUGUUUUGAAGACGUUUGAUGGCUAUGGUGACGCUGCGUUGAGUGUGUUGUAAGUCGGGGCAUUUGAGUGGAGGAGAAGUGGAGAGGGAGCAGAAAGGAGCGUGGUUUGGGAUAGAAGAGGAGGCUCUUAAUGAUCGGGAAGGUAUUGGGGGAUGAUUGUUUCAGUUGUGGUUGAUAGGGGUGCUGUUCCUUUGAAAUCGAGUGUGAAGUGAGUGGCGGAAAGGAUCGGGAAAAAGUGAGGCCGGGGUUGAGGACAAAGUGAUUGCCUGUGGAAUUUAUUCUCCAUGGGCGGACAAUGUGAAGGCAGGGGUUGGUGAGGGCAUGGGGAAACCGAGGUCUGCGGAACAAAACGCAAUAGAGCACGGUGGCGACAGUGCGCCAGUAGGAGGCGCUCGUCUGCGCCCUAUGCAGGAAGUGAUACGGAACUCGCCCCGUUUAAAACACAAGGGAAGAAAUAAGAGUGGUUCAUUCAUGGCUGACCCCCCCUCUAAGGCAAUGGCGAAUAGAACUAAGGAUCGAUGGAAAUCGCAAACACCUAAGUCUAAAAGUUCUGGAAAGGUCGAAAAGAACAUCAGAGAGAAAAAUGUUCACGAUGAGGAUUCGGAGGAGUCUAACAUUGACGACCAUCAAAAUGAAGAAAAUGAAGACGAAGAUGAAGACGAAGACGACUCUGAUGAGCUGGAGGAGGAGCAAGAGGAAGUGCUUGGAGAAGGGAUGUUUGAGGUGGAAGCGAUCAGGAAAAAGCGAAUCCGAAAGGGCAAGAAGGAGUUUCUUAUCAAGUGGCGUAACUGGCCGGAGAAGGAUAACACAUGGGAGCCGUUUAGUCACGUGGCGAAAUGCAGAGACAUCCUUGAAGAAUUUGAGGCGAGUCAGAAAGCGCGGCGAGGAAAACGCAAAUUUGGUACGUACACUCUGGAUGGUGCUGGGAAGCGGAAGCGGAGCUUUAUGUCUAAUGCUGAUGAAGAUGCGCCCAGUCAGAGUGAAGGGAAAGACACUGUCAAAUCUUCUACCGAUUCCUAUGCUGUACCUGAAGAGAAAGAAAGGAAGACACGACACCAAGCUGGGCUUACUGAGAGGACUGCUAGCCCUUCUGCUGAAGCAGCCCGGACAUUGUUAGAUUUGCCUGACGAGGCUCCUACCACGUCAAAACUUGCCGCUACCCCUGAAGUAAGCAAAGUGAUUGGGGAUAUCGUGGCCGGAGAAGAAAACGGGGCUGAUUCUUUAGGCAGGGCGGUGGUUAUUUAUGAGACACCUCGGGCUGCAGAGGUUGUUGAGCCUGACGGUGGUGUUGUGGAUGGAAUUCCGAGCGUAGAUACAAAGAGUCUGGGUUUGAAUGGCACGAAUAGUUGGGCUGACGCCGCUGUUCCUAGGUUCGCUUAUGAUGACAACACGAAGUUCCCCUCGUCUAUGUCUCAGUUGAUUACAACGAGAGAAAACGAAGUUCUUGAGAACAAAAUUGGAGCUCAUCCAGCUGUAGCCGAUGAAAGCAGGGGCUUGACCGAGGAGAAGCAGUUGUCAAAGGCGGUUAAGCUGGUGGAAUUUGGACACUCAGACGAGGAAAUGGAUAUUAGAAACUUAGGUCUAGUACAUGAUACUGUCCAAGGUGUAACGGGCAGUUCAAAGUCAGAAGGAGGACCCGUUGGGUCAAAGAGAAGGAAAGGUGCGGUUCCACGCAGGGUCCCUCAGGACCAGGAUGGAGUGCAAACUUCUUUGGAGGACAUUAAGAGAGAACUUGGGCAAGGUCUUGAGGAAUAUCAUACUACAGCGGAUAAAGUAUCUGGGAGGGAGUUGGCAACUGUAGCCCGCAAGGAUAUCCCACCUGAGCAUAAAGAGUGUCAGUCUGCUUUUCAAGACAAUCUGUCAAGAAAAGCAUUGUCAACUCCUCCGCCCGUGGAGAAAAAGGAGAUUGGAGCACUUACAACACCUGUCAUCACACAUAUAUUAAAGGCCAUCAGCUAUAGCAACUCUAUUACACAUGAGAAGCAGGAAGUUUUGGUCCAGUUUAAGGCUUCUAGAUCCGAUGGGGAGGAGGUGGUGGUUGACAACAAGUUUAUGCGAGAAAGUUAUCCUCUUCUGUUGAUCGACUUCUACGAGCAACACCUACGGUACAGUAAUGCGUAAAUUUGGAGAUCAGAAGAGCUGAACUUUUAACCUGCAACUGUACGUGCACCGAGGUAUAAUAUGCUGGCUUGCCUGGCUCAAGAAGAGAAUUCUCAUGGGGGUGAUGGCUGCACAGUUCUUGACCUACCGCCUUUCUGAAACAAUGUCUUCAACAUUAUCAAAUGACCCAAUCCUAAUAUCCCUCAAACAGUAACACAGUUUACCAGGAGACUUUUACCGCAAAUAGUUAUUAUAUUCUUGGGUAGCAGGGUGAUCUUUGCUAACUGUAGCAGUAACCCACUAUCAUAGUUGGACUUGUUAUCUGAUACUAGAGUGGUAGCUCCUGUUGAGUCUCAUGUUUCAUUUUCUUAUCAUAUUAGGACCGAGUUCUUGACUAUGUCAUUUUUCAUUCCGUGACUCAAACCAAGACAGAUGCUGACUUUCAAAUGUCAUUGCAGAGAAGCAUAGUUAAGAAAAGUCACGAGAUAGAACAGACAAAACCUCAGAUUGUUUCUUUCUUGUUUUUUCCGAAGUAUUCUGUCCCCUGUCAGUAGCAAUUCCAUUCAACAUGGUUAACAGUGUUGUUGUCAGGCAAUGGUAAGCUCGGAAAGCCUUGAUCCCAACUGUUGCUUGUGCUAUGGAGUAAAAGGUGCUACACCGAAUGGAAACGAACCCCAGCUUUAAAUAAAGUAUUAAAGUACACACAA